CCUACGUGUGACAGCAGUCGAGAAUCAUUCACAAUGGGGGAAACCCUGAUGGUGCGACGCCGCGUGGGGGAAUGAAGGUCUUCGGAUUGUAAACCCCUGUCAUGUGGGAGCAAAUUAAAAAGAUAGUACCACAAGAGGAAGAGACGGCUAACUCUGUGCCAGCAGCCGCGGGAAUACAGAGGUCUCAAGCGUUGUUCGGAAUCACUGGGCGUAAAGCGUGCGUAGGCUGUUUCGUAAGUCGUGUGUGAAAGGCGCGGGCUCAACCCGCGGACGGAACAUGAUACUGCGAGACUAGAGUAAUGGAGGGGGAACCGGAAUUCUCGGUGUAGCAGUGAAAUGCGUAGAUAUCGAGAGGAACACUCGUGGCGAAGGCGGGUUCCUGGACAUUAACUGACGCUGAGGCACGAAGGCCAGGGGAGCGAAAGGGAUUAGAUACCCGGGUAGUC
Molecule: ribosomal RNA, 446 nt
Filed under: uncultured bacterium
Lineage: Bacteria
Description: partial 16S ribosomal RNA
Rfam family: Bacterial small subunit ribosomal RNA
Source: RNAcentral